AAAUAAAAGUGAAAUUUUUAUGGCACUUUUAAAACAAUCCAUAUCCACCUUGUGUGCAAUGUUUUUUGAGAAAAUGAAAAGUCUCUUUAAUGGGAUGAUUCUUUUUCUCUUUUAACUAUUAUAAACUCAUUUUUUAUAAGAAAUCUUGUCUGAUAAUAAUAUUAUUGAAUAACUUAAUUCAUAAAUA
This 187-nucleotide unclassified non-coding RNA is filed under the name uncultured Mortierellomycotina. Its description in RNAcentral is "sequence contains ITS1". Lineage: Eukaryota; Fungi; Mortierellomycota. The record is from RNAcentral.